AGAUGUUUUUUUUUUCAUUCACCAUUUUAUCAUUCAUUAAGGUCUACUUGGAUGCUUUGCCAUUUCUAAUUUUAUUGAAAGCAGCUGGUCUGUAAAACACUACUGGUUCCUAGUAGAGCUCAUUGGCUAAUCCAGAGAGAAGAUUUAGCUACAAAUACCUAAAGGGCAUGAACCUGCUAAUCAAUGAUUUGGAAAAGUCACCUUCAAGGUUGUCAAAGUGCUACAUUAUUCUUUAUUUCUACUAGUGUGGAGGCAAAUAGUGUGCUCUCCAAGGUCCUGAUGUGGUAUUUCCUUAUCGCCAAUAGCCCCACUGAGAGAGAAGACAGCAAUUUCUUUGAACCAGGCACCCAAUCUGAUCAUCCCAGGCUCAACCAGGAAUUAAUGGAAGAGAGUAAAAUGAGACAUGACUUACCAUGUUUACUUUGUUCUCUUUAUCUACAAGGCUCAAAAGAUUAGGAAACAGAAGCAAAUGGAAGUUAAGUGACCUACCCAGGAUCACAAAGCUAGUAAGUGUUUGAGAUUGGAGGAAGGGAAUUGCUAAAUUUCAAAGCAUCAAAAGAAUGGUAAGGAAGAAUAAAGAGUCUCAUCAUCAUGCCAUGCAAAAAUCAGGUGAAGAAAGAGGGAAAGUUUUUGAUUUUUUUGUUUUUGUUUUUGGAUAAGAAAUGGUUUGGGGGUGACAAAAACCCUGUCUUCAGAUAUAUAAAAACCUGUUAUAUAGAAACAUUAGCCUUAUCCUACUUGGUCUCAGAAGGUAGAACUAGGAAUGGUGGGAAGAAACUAUAGACAGAGUCAGAUUUUAUCUUGAUAGAGGAAAAAAAAAGUUUUAUACUCUGUAGAGUUUUCCAAAAGUGAAACAAUCUGCCUCAGGAGGUAGUUGGGUCCUCUCAAUAUAUGUCUCUAAUUGAAUGGCCACCAUGGGUGUUUGAUGUGGAGAUGAUUCUUUUUCCAAUAUAGGUGGGAUUGGAAGGCUUAUGAAAUCCAUUCCAAAUGUGCAAUCCUGUGACAGUAUGUUUUGUGGCUAAGAGAGCAAAUAACUGAUAUUUCCAAAGCUUGAUGCAGGUUAAUUUCUGGGAGCCUUCAGCUGAAUAAUCUCUGCCCCAGCUUUAGAAAGCAACACUUUCUCAGUGUCAGUGUUUAUGUUGAAUUCUUCAGGUGAGUUGGGUCACCUGGCAAAUGGUCUGGGCACACAAAUAGGAUACUUUAUGUGAAAUAAGGACCUUCAGCAUAGUUUGGUGAAUGAGGGCAUAAGGCAGCAUGACAAUCUUGGAAGGCACUAGCUAGCUGGAGGAGGAAUGGCCACAUUGAAAACAGCAUUUUCUGAAAUUCUGUUAAACCAUUUGACUUUGAGAUUAAUGGAUAAGCUUUCUGUUUGAAGCACAGGAAUUAGAGCCAUUUCCUCCUAGGGCAUAAAGAGUCCUGAUAAGAAAUGGCAAUCGGAUUCCGUUAUUUUUUUUCAAUAGUAUUUUUUUACCCUUGCAAGAACCUUUCUUGAUCUUUAUCAGUCAUCAAUUAUAGGUUGCUUCAAAACUAUGAAACCUGCUGCAGCAAACAUUGCUGACCCCUCACCCAAUUGAGGAUAUCUCUGUGAGGAUUUUCCAUUUCAAAGAGAAACACCUUUUUUUCCCCUCUCACAUUCUCUCUUUUUAAAGCUUGAAAACCCACUCAACAGAAAUUGUUAAAUAAUGCUGCUAUUAAAAAAGGCUUUUCAAAGUUGAAAGCUCCAAAGGGGAGACACAAAAUUCCUUUCAAUAGUUCAGAGAGUCCCUUCUGACAUUCUUUCUUUAUUUGCAUUUUUAAACUACUGGCUUUGUAAUGGGAAAAAUUAUAUUCGGUUAUAAAGCUUAUCUUUGCAGUUUAGCUGAUGCUUGGUGCUAAGCUACAAUAUGCAAUCAUUGUUCAAGUUGGGAAUGAAAAUAGUUGUUGUGUUUUUUUUUUUUUUCAUUUGCUUGCCCUUCUGGCUGCUUAAUAAUAGUUGACCUGUACUUGGCUUGCAAGCAUCAAGGUCUGAUAAAAGCUAUUGCUUAGGAAAAUAUUUUGUAGAAUAAAGUACAGUAUGUCAAUAAGCAAAAGAAUAGAAUAUUUUUACCCUUGAGGGCAGAAUUUUCGGCUAUAGGAUGAGUUUCAAUGCUAAAAUAAUUUCAAUCAUCCAAACAAUAACAAUGAGAAGAAUUAUGUCCCUUCAGCUGUGUGACAGUGGAAAGAGCCCUGGUUAGAGGGAUAGGAAACCUGGAUCUAAAACCAGGCUGUUUGACUUGGCACAAGUCACUACACCUUUGGGAAUCUCAGCAUUCUUAUUAAAAAUUGGAGAAUUGAUAUCUGAAAUACUUCCCUCAGAGGGAUGUUAGGAAGCUCAAAUUAAAUAAUGUAUAUAAAAAGCACUUUGCAAUCUGCAAAAUAAAAAGAAGUAUUUUAUAAUGUUUUAAGGUUUGCAAAGUACACACACAGACACAUAUAAUCUCAUUUGUUUAUCAUAACAAUAAUAUGAUAUAGGUUCUUUUAUUAUCUCCAUUUGAAAUAUAAAGAAAAUCAGGCUAACUUAUUUUAAGUAACUUGCCAUAGCUAGUGUCUAAGGGAAUAUUUAAACUCAAGUCUCCUCCCUCUAAGUUCAAUGCUAUAUCUACUAUAAAACUAAGCUGCCUCUAAUACUAUUCAUAGGUAAUGAAGAAGAGAGAUAGCUAGAUAGACAGGCAGACAUAUAGACAAAUCAAUAGGUUGAUAGAGAGAUAGAUAGGUAGAUAGACAGACAGACAGACAGACAGGCAGUCAGAUAGAUAGAUAGAUAGAUAGAUAGAUAGAUAGAUAGAUAGAUAGAUAGAUAGAUGGAUGGGAAGAAAGAAAGAAAGAAAGAAAGAAAGAAAGAAAGAAAGAAAGAAAGAAAGAAAGAAAGAAAGAAAGAAAGAAAGAAAGAAAGAAAGAAAGAAAGAAAGAAAGAAAGAAAGAAAGAAAGAAAGAAAGAAAGAAAGAAAGAAAGAAAGAAAGAAAGAAAGAAAGAGAAAGAAAGAAAGAAAGAAAGAAAGAAAGAAAGAAAGAAAGAAAGAAAGAAAGAAAGAAAGAAAGAAAGAAAGAAAGAAAGAAAGAAAGAAAGAAAGAUGGAUGAAUAAAUUGAUUGAUGUUGGAUGAAUCAAAAGAUAGAGACAGAAACAGAGACACACACAGACAUAUGAUAGAUGCGAGAGAUAAAGAUAGAGAAUUAGAGCCUGUGGUUUCAAUGGUGUUUGUACCAAUGUAGAUUGUCAUCUAGUCUACAAUUCAUAGUCUUAGAAAGUUGUCUGAGCCACUGAGAAAUAACUUGAGCUCAUGACACAGCCUUUGAGUGACAGUAGUGGAACUUCAUCAUAGAUGUUGAUUCUAGGGUCAGUUUCCUUUGCAUAAAACCAUACUGCUUUUCCCUCUUUAUUACUAGGUUCAGAUAUAGAUUCUGCCUAAUGUUCAGUCUGGUAUUCUGAUGAUACAUUCACCUACUAUAAACUGUCUACUUAUGGAUUAGAUUUCUACUCUCUACUAUCUACAACAUGGGAGGUACUAUAUGUAUAGGUAUUAUAUAUAUGUGUGUAUAGGUAUGUGGGUAUAUCACUAAAAAUUUGUAUAGAAUAAAGCAUUUUUAAAUGAAGCAAAGGUCUGAUCUUUCCUCUUAUUUGGGGGAUGAGGAAUUUCCAAGCUUUGAUUUAUAGGUGAUUUGUUUUCCUUUUACAUCAUUAUUUUCCCCCAGUAUCACUUGCAGAACCCUUCCUUAUUAAGCAAAACAAGUUGAAGCAUACCAGAUCUGAUAGUAUAUUCAAUAUUCUAUAAUCAUGUCCCUUUAACUUUUCUACCAGGAAAUGAAAAAUAUGUUUUACCAGCAAACUGGUAGAAACAGCAACUAAAAUCCUCAAGUCAUACAUCUAUGGCAAUAGGACACUAGUUCACCUUGCUCUUUGUAAAACAUUUUCCUUCCCACAGUCUUAUGAGAUAGGUGAUGCCAAUGGUCAGUGGACAAGCCACUUCUCAAACUCUGGCCCUCUGACAGUGAGGCUAUUACUCUUUCCACUCUACCUACUGUAUCUCCUACUACAACUAGCUGUAUUAUUGUUUUAAAAGGGAAGAAAAGCACACUAAGAUACGAUCUUCCUCCAGCUUUCUUAGUCAUCUUGAGUAAACCAGAAACAAGCAGAAACACCAGGAUAAUAUAAACCACCACUCCAAUAGUCAAUUAAAGCCACUAAUGGCGAGAAGCACAAGUCAGAUAGAAGUAGUAUGGUAUAACCUCAUGGAGGUGAUGCACUGCCUCUGAGGGCACAAGAUUUAAGUGGGGGUGGGAGGAAAAUACUCUCCCCAAUGCCUCUUUGUAACACAGACCUGGAACUCAACUCUAACCUAUACAAGCCCUGGAAGCUUUCCCAGGAAAAGAGUACAAUAUCCAUAUGCUGGACCUCUCCAUCAUCUUGCCUACCUAAUGUAGCUGCAAGGAACUGGAUUACAGAUACUUUUCCAGGUUCUAAUAAGGAUUUGAAAAUAAAGUGGGUUAAAGAAAUACUUGAGGAAAAUGACUCUGUGGUCCCUGGAAAAAUAACAACAAAAAUCUAACAAUGAUGCCUCUCUUUGUGAAAUUGAUUUAGCAAUGAUAAAAUUAUACAUAGACUAAAUAUGAAGAGGCUCACUAGUUAUAUGUCCAUUCAGUAACAAUCAUAAGCAACAGUAUUAACAUCAAAAACUAAAAACAGGACAGGCUCCAUGUCACUGACCAGGUUUCAAAUCCCAGCUCUGUAGUUCAUGAUCUGUGAACUUGUGAAAGUUGCUUUACCUCUCCAGGCCUCAGUUUCCUUAUCUGUAAAAGGAACAGGUAUUAAGACUGCCCUCAAUAUUCCUUCCUCAACUAUAAUAUAUAUCCAAUCUAUGGUUAUAAUUUCUGGGUAAAAGGAAAAUCUAGGUUUUUCUCCCUUAAUGCAAUUUUAUAUUUGUACAUUGAGAUUAUCUGAGCCAGUUCUAUGAUAUUCAUGUUGAAUAGCUUUUGGUCAAAAACACCUUCCUAGCAGUCCAGAAGCAAGCCAUUGAUGUUUCAAUCUAUACUGAAAAUGAAUUUUAUCACAAGAUGAAUUAGAACUUUUGUUAUUAAUCCAUCACUAGCAUCCACAAUUAUUUAUUGAAAGUUUGGAUGAAAAUAUCUUCAUAGGUAAAUGGAAAUUGAUAGCUGGGUACUUUGUUCAAAACAAAAGCUCUUCCCUGGAUUUUUUGUAGCUAUAUAAUUCUGUUUAUUACUGGGAAAUGGCAUAAAGGUGUAACUACUGGUACAUGAGUCCCAUUGGGUCCUUGAGAACUUCCAGCAAGUGGAAUCAAUCAUAUAUUUAAAAUAGAUGUGGUUUUAAAUAAAUAUGCAUCAACUUAUAGAUUGAUCACUCAUUCAGCUAGCUUCUUUCAGAGGUUUUUAGGGUGCAAUUAAAUGCAAAGAAAGACUUCCCAAAGUCAGCCAGCUCUAUUUAGCCAGUAUUAAGACUCCUCUAGUGAUUCAACAUGAUCUCUAUUCUGUUUCUCUUUCUGCCUCCUUGAACAAUUGAACUCAGUGUCUCUUUCACUGGGUCCUUAUUCGUCUCUAACUUUCUAAAUGGGAAUAGGAUAAUAAAAACAUAAUUUGUGGUAGAACAUGACCAGGAUUAAAGAGGUUAUGUGACUUGUUCAAAGGCAUAAAUGUAGUAAAGCUGAUUUUUGAGCCCAGAUUCCAUUAAAAAUCCAGCCUUCUUUCCCUGAAACAUGCUGGUUGAGAGGCAGUGAGCUACAGCAAAUAUAGAAAUAGAGGAUAAGUAAUGAGACCUGAGAUCUAGGUUUAAGUUUACUAGAUUCUAGGUUUAGGUUUACUACUAUGAAGUAAUGGUACCUGAGGAAAAACACUUCUGCCCUCCUGUUCUUAUUUCCUCAACUAUUAAAUGACUAUGAGAUAUAAGAAUUAUUUUACCCACCUGUGAAUUGGCUUGAAAUGUACAGAUCCCAUAAUGACCCUGUUUAUCUUCUAUGUCAUUGUCUAUUUAUUUAUGUCUUCAGUUCUACUGUUCGGAUUGAGUUGCUUCUACUAAGGAAUUAGCUUCUAGAUGUUCUUGGCUUGGAAAUAAAAAGUAAAGCAAUUGUAUACAACUUUUCCUACACUACUGUCUUCUUUUUGUAGAUAUCUUGUGCAAGACCAAACAGAGAGAAUUUUAUUAUGAAACAAUAAGGCUCUAAAUUUAAGGUUUUUCGAUAAAUCUAACUACAGGAUUCUACCCUAUGCUUUCAGGAUAACUGCCAGCUGGAACACUUUCCCCACUUAACUCAAAGGAAUAUAAAAACCUAUCACUUGGAAUAGUAGAGGAAGCUGGGAGUUGUUACUUAGCUCUUGAGGGCACUGCAAUAUAGUGACCCUGGCUUCCUUGUUGUUUUUAGCAUAAUGGGGUACCCCUCCAAACUCCAAGAAUAUUCACUUGAUUGUUGCUCCAUGCCUGGAAUGUUCUCCCUCCUAAUUUCCAUCUCCUAGCUUUCAUUACUUCCUUCAAAUCUCAGCCAAAAUCCCAUUUUCUUGGUCCUCCUUAAUUUUAGUAUCUUCCUUCCCUUGAUUCUUUUUGACUUAUGCUGUAGAUAGCUUUUUACAUUGUUGUUUGCAUAUUAUAUCCUCCAAUAGACAAGUUGUUCCUUAAAAAGAGGGACUUUUUGCCCUUUUUAUCUUCAGAAGAGUGCCUGAGGAAUAGGAGGACCAAAAGGAUAAUUGAGUGACUGACUGAUGUUUACAAGUGUUCCUUCUCUUUUGACUUCAUCUUCUAUUGUAACUCUGAGUAGAAUAGUUUCCAGUGGUCUCUUAAUGACUAAAUCAAAAUCAUUUUUUCUGACUUUUUUCAUCUUUUGACACUGUGGAUGAGUGUAUUGAACUCAAAUAGAACUCAGAACCAUUAAACCAUAUCUGAUGCAUAUUAAUUUAGUUUUAAAAUGAAAUGUUAUUUAAAAAAAACAAAAAAUUAAUGUUAUCUAUGUUUUAUUGUAUUUGUAUUUAUUUUGUUAAGUAUUUCCCAAUUACACUUUAAUCUGGUUUGGGCUGCUUGUGAGUUCCAUGUUUGACAUCUCUGAGGUAGAUCACCUUCUUCUUGAAACAUUUUACUCUCUAUGAUUUCAUUACAUGGCAUUCUCCUUGUUCUCCUUUUACCUGUCUAAGCACUCCUUUCCAGUCUCUUUUGCUUGAUCUUCAUCCAUGUCAUGAUCAGAAACUGUCUGUGUCACAUAGGACUCUUUUCAUGAACUUUCUUCUUCUCUACCUGCAUACUAUUUCAUUUAGUGAUUUCAUUAUCUUAUCUCCCUUGUAUUCAACUAUUAUCUUUAUGCAAAUUGUUCUCUGGUUCAUUUUUCCAUUCUUAACUUCUCUCCAACCUACUGUUUCAUAUCUCUAACUGCCUAUUGAUCAUCCAGAAUUAAAUAUUCAUCUUGAAACUUAGCAUCUUUUAAAACUGAAUUAAAUGUCUUUCCCCUUUCUCUCUACCUUUUCUCUAAUUUUCCUAUUACAUCCAAGAACUUCACCAUCCUCCCAGUCACUCAGACUUACAUUUUAUAUAUCAUCCUCAACUCCUCCUUCUCCCAUCCCUCCUAUCCUGUUACCAAAUCCUAUUGAUUCUAUGUUUUAGAUGUGUGUCCUUUAUACCACCUUUUGUCUUCUAAUCUGCCAUUACCCUGGUUUAAG
Molecule: non-coding RNA, 7666 nt
Organism: Monodelphis domestica (gray short-tailed opossum)
Lineage: Eukaryota; Metazoa; Chordata; Mammalia; Didelphimorphia; Didelphidae
Source: RefSeq, a predicted model, not a curated record